GCGGCAGGCCUAACACAUGCAAGUCGAGCGGCAGCGGGAAAGUAGCUUGCUACUUUUGCCGGCGAGCGGCGGACGGGUGAGUAAUGCCUGGGAAAUUGCCCAGUCGAGGGGGAUAACAGUUGGAAACGACUGCUAAUACCGCAUACGCCCUACGGGGGAAAGCAGGGGACCUUCGGGCCUUGCGCGAUUGGAUAUGCCCAGGUGGGAUUAGCUAGUUGGUGAGGUAAUGGCUCACCAAGGCGACGAUCCCUAGCUGGUCUGAGAGGAUGAUCAGCCACACUGGAACUGAGACACGGUCCAGACUCCUACGGGAGGCAGCAGUGGGGAAUAUUGCACAAUGGGGGAAACCCUGAUGCAGCCAUGCCGCGUGUGUGAAGAAGGCCUUCGGGUUGUAAAGCACUUUCAGCGAGGAGGAAAGGUCAGUAGCUAAUAUCUGCUGGCUGUGACGUUACUCGCAGAAGAAGCACCGGCUAACUCCGUGCCAGCAGCCGCGGUAAUAC
RNAcentral lists this ribosomal RNA (500 nucleotides) under uncultured marine bacterium. Its description in RNAcentral is "bacterial SSU rRNA". It matches the Rfam family "Bacterial small subunit ribosomal RNA", at positions 39 to 526 of the family's 1533-position model. The record is from RNAcentral.